Molecule: ribosomal RNA, 409 nt
Filed under: Fusobacteriota bacterium
Lineage: Bacteria; Fusobacteriati; Fusobacteriota
Description: Fusobacteria bacterium partial 16S ribosomal RNA
Rfam family: Bacterial small subunit ribosomal RNA
Source: RNAcentral
UGGGGAAUAUUGCACAAUGGAGGGAACUCUGAUGCAGCAACGCCGCGUGCGGGAUGACGGCCUUCGGGUUGUAAACCGCUUUCAGCCAUGACGAAGCUUUUGUGACGGUAGUGGUAGAAGAAGCACCGGCUAACUACGUGCCAGCAGCCGCGGUGAUACGUAGGGUGCGAGCGUUGUCCGGAAUUAUUGGGCGUAAAGAGCUUGUAGGCGGUUUGUCGCGUCGAUAGUGUAAACACGCAGCUUAACUGUGUGCCUGCUGUCGAUACGGGCUGACUAGAGGAGGGUAGGGGAGAGUGGACUUCCCGGUGGAGCGGUGGAAUGCGCAGAUAUCGGGAGGAACACCAGUGGCGAAGGCGGUUCUCUGGACCUUUCCUGACGCUGAGAAGCGAAAGCGUGGGUAGCAAACAGG